AUUGAACGCUGGCGGCAUGCCUUACACAUGCAAGUCGAACGGUAACAGGUCUUCGGAUGCUGACGAGUGGCGAACGGGUGAGUAAUACGUCGGAACGUGCCUAGUAGUGGGGGAUAACUACUCGAAAGAGUGGCUAAUACCGCAUGAGAUCUACGGAUGAAAGCAGGGGAUCGCAAGACCUUGUGCUACUAGAGCGGCCGAUGGCAGAUUAGGUAGUUGGUGGGAUAAAAGCUUACCAAGCCGACGAUCUGUAGCUGGUCUGAGAGGACGAUCAGCCCCACGGGGACUGAGACACGGCCCAGGCUCCUACGGGAGGCAGCAGUGGGGAAUUUUGGACAAUGGGCGAAAGCCUGAUCCAGCAAUGCCGCGUGCAGGAUGAAGGCCUUCGGGUUGUAAACUGCUUUUGUACGGAACGAAAAGCCCCGGGUUAAUACCCUGGGGUCAUGACGGUACCGUAAGAAUAAGCACCGGCUAACUACGUGCCAGCCGCCGCGGUAA
This 498-nucleotide ribosomal RNA is filed under the name uncultured bacterium. RNAcentral's name for it is "partial 16S ribosomal RNA". It matches the Rfam family "Bacterial small subunit ribosomal RNA", at positions 30 to 523 of the family's 1533-position model. The record is from RNAcentral.